GACGAACGCUGGCGGCGUGCUUAACACAUGCAAGUCGAACGGAAAGGCCCUGCUUGCAGGGUACUCGAGUGGCGAACGGGUGAGUAACACGUGGGUGAUCUGCCCUGCACUUCGUGAUAAGCCUUGGAAACUGGGUCUAAUACCGGAUAGGAGCCAUUUUUAGUGUGAUGGGUGGAAAGUUUUUUCGGUGUAGGAUGAGCUCGCGGCCUAUCAGCUUGUUGGUGGGGUAAUGGCCUACCAAGGCGGCGACGGGUAGCCGGCCUGAGAGGGUGGACGGCCAAAUUGGGAGUGAGAUAAGGCCCAGACUCCUACGGGAGGCAGCAGUGGGGAAUAUUGCACAAUGGGGGGAAGCCGGAUGCAGCGACGCCGGGUGGGGGAUGAAGGCCUUCGGGUUGUAAACUCCUUUCGCUAGGGAAGAAGCUUUUUGUGACGGUAACUAGAUAAGAAGCACCGGCUAACUACGUG
This 465-nucleotide ribosomal RNA is filed under the name uncultured bacterium. RNAcentral describes it as "partial 16S ribosomal RNA". It matches the Rfam family "Bacterial small subunit ribosomal RNA", at positions 28 to 507 of the family's 1533-position model. The record is from RNAcentral.